AUUGAACGCUGGCGGCAGGCCUAACACAUGCAAGUCGAACGGUAACAGGAAGAAGCUUACUUCUUUGCUGACGAGUGGCGGCCGGGUGAGUAAUGUCUGGGAAACUGCCUGAUGGAGGGGGAUAACUACUGGAAACGGUAGCUAAUACCGCAUAACGUCGCAAGACCAAAGAGGGGGACCUUCGGGCCUCUUGCCAUCGGAUGUGCCCAGAUGGGAUUAGCUUGUUGGUGGGGUAACGGCUCACCAAGGCGACGAUCCCUAGCUGGUCUGAGAGGAUGACCAGCCACACUGGAACUGAGACACGGUCCAGACUCCUACGGGAGGCAGCAGUGGGGAAUAUUGCACAAUGGGCGCAAGCCUGAUGCAGCCAUGCCGCGUGUAUGAAGAAGGCCUUCGGGUUGUAAAGUACUUUCAGCGGGGAGGAAGGGAGUAAAGUUAAUACCUUUGCUCAUUGACGUUACCCGCAGAAGAAGCACCGGCUAACUCCGUG
Molecule: ribosomal RNA, 490 nt
Filed under: uncultured bacterium
Lineage: Bacteria
Description: partial 16S ribosomal RNA
Rfam family: Bacterial small subunit ribosomal RNA
Source: RNAcentral